RNAcentral lists this unclassified non-coding RNA (284 nucleotides) under plant metagenome. RNAcentral describes it as "partial contains small subunit ribosomal RNA, internal transcribed spacer 1, and 5.8S ribosomal RNA". The stretch from base 1 to 53 matches the Rfam family "Eukaryotic small subunit ribosomal RNA", at positions 1778 to 1831 of the family's 1831-position model. The record is from RNAcentral.
GAAAGUAAAAUCGUAACAAGGUUUCCGUAGGUGAACCUGCGGAAGGAUCAUUAUUGUAUAACCGAGGUGCGAGGGCUGUCGCUGACCCGAAAGGUCGUGCACGCCCGAGUGCCCUCACACACAUCCAUCUCACCCCUAUGUGCACCACCGCGUGGGUCCCCCUUUGGCUUGUUCGGAGGGGGGCUUACGUUUUCACACAAACUUUGUAUGCAGUGUAGAAUGUAUUUUUUGUUUUUGCGAUCACGCAAUCAAUACAACUUUCAACAACGGAUCUCUUGGCUCUC